Molecule: transfer RNA, 77 nt
Filed under: Eubacteriales Family XIII. Incertae Sedis bacterium
Lineage: Bacteria; Bacillati; Bacillota; Clostridia; Peptostreptococcales; Anaerovoracaceae
Description: tRNA-Val
Rfam family: tRNA
About the family: Transfer RNA (tRNA) molecules are approximately 80 nucleotides in length. Their secondary structure includes four short double-helical elements and three loops (D, anti-codon, and T loops).
Source: RNAcentral
GCGGAUGUAGCUCAGCAGGUUAGAGCACAUGGAUCACAACCAUGGGGUCGGGAGUUCGAGUCUCUCCAUCCGCACCA